UUGGGCGUAAAGCGAGCGCAGGCGGUUAGAUAAGUCUGAAGUUAAAGGCAGUGGCUCAACCAUUGUAGGCUUUGGAAACUGUUUAACUUGAGUGCAGAAGGGGAGAGUGGAAUUCCAUGUGUAGCGGUGAAAUGCGUAGAUAUAUGGAGGAACACCGGUGGCGAAAGCGGCUCUCUGGCUUGUAACUGACGCUGAGGCUCGAAAGCGUGGGGAGCAAACAGGAUUAGAUACCCUGGUAGUCCACGCCGUAAACGAUGAGUGCUAGGUGUUAGACCCUUUCCGGGGUUUAGUGCCGCAGCUAACGCAUUAAGCACUCCGCCUGGGGAGUACGACCGCAAGGUUGAAACUCAAAGGAAUUGACGGGGGCCCGCACAAGCGGUGGGGCAUGUGGUUUAAUUCGAAGCAACGCGAAGAACCUUACCAGGUCUUGACAUCCCUCUGACCGCUCUAGAGAUAGAGUUUUCCUUCGGGACAGAGGUGACAGGUGGUGCAUGGUUGUCGUCAGCUCGUGUCGUGAG
This 518-nucleotide ribosomal RNA is filed under the name uncultured bacterium. RNAcentral's name for it is "bacterial SSU rRNA". It matches the Rfam family "Bacterial small subunit ribosomal RNA", at positions 554 to 1071 of the family's 1533-position model. The record is from RNAcentral.